GUGUGUUGGUGUCUCUGCCAUUUGAGCUGUCCAUUCAAGCCUAGGGCUAAAAUAGCCCUUGAGGAUGCCCGAGAGGGAGACAGUACCCCCCGAGUUCAACAUGAGAGGCCAAAGUCAAUGAAAGGAAAAAGCUGUGGAAAGGGAAGGGAAGUGACGUAUAGUGAGAAACACGCAACAAGAAAGCAAUCUUGCAGCCACUACGACAAUUUGCUAGGCUCGCCAUAGGCGAAGCAGCAGUCAUGUAUAACCUGGCUUUGACCUAUGAAUGAUCGACUUUCCUCACCCUGUCGUCGGCCGUGUUUACUGUUAUGCAAGGUUACCAGGUAUGUCGGGCCAAAAUAUCGUACAAAAACCUCUAAAGGAUCGUAUUUUUAUUUCAAUAUGAUUGGAUUUCACCAAUUCCAAAGGUUUUGUGUAACAGUUAAUUAUAGGUGUUAGUUAGAAUUGCUUUGUAUUCCUAUAGUCAACCUAAAAUUGUACAAUGAAAAUAGUGAUACUGUACCAUGUGUAUAUUUACCAAAUUCCUUUGUUAUAAUAUUCCCCUAUGUAUAUAUGUAAAAUUCUUAUUGCCCAUGGUAACACCACUGGAACCCAUAAUAUUAUCAUCAUUCUCAACAAUGAUUUGACUAGCCUUCCCUUUAAUACUUACUGUACAAGUGUCAAAUAUUUGUUUCUAUGAUCAUUAUCAUACUACUAUGAACCCCGUUUUUACAUCUGUCAUAGUUUACGUCACAACUAAGUCUCUCUCAGGGUGCUCACUAAAUUUAACUUUGGCAAGUGCCUUAAUUAUCAACAUUAUACAUCACUGCAUAUUUUUGCCAAUUAGGCCGUGGCUUCAAAUAGCUAUUUUCCAAAAUACGAUCCAUAUUCAAUGCUUUGGUAAGAUUUUAUCGACGAAACUCUGUUAUUCAUUUGCAACCAGAGCCAUUGGCAUUUUCCAGGGGUGAAAUAUUGUUUAAAGGAUUUGUCAUAAAAAUUUAUUUCGGUCUGGGUAAUUGUUCAUCUGAUUGUUAAAUUUCUCUCAUUAUAUAAGAUUCUAUUGCACUGGGAUUCACGAAAUCCACGCAUUAAACAAUUCACUCAAUUUCCUUUUCCAUUCUGCGUUGAGUAUAAUAAUUCUCAUGUACAAACAAGCCUUUUA
Molecule: long non-coding RNA, 1141 nt
Organism: Macrobrachium nipponense
Lineage: Eukaryota; Metazoa; Arthropoda; Malacostraca; Decapoda; Palaemonidae
Exons: 3
Source: RefSeq, a predicted model, not a curated record